This 793-nucleotide ribosomal RNA is filed under the name uncultured archaeon. RNAcentral describes it as "bacterial SSU rRNA". It matches the Rfam family "Archaeal small subunit ribosomal RNA", at positions 85 to 879 of the family's 1478-position model. The record is from RNAcentral.
ACGGCUCAGUAACACGUAGUCAAUCUACCCUAUGGACGGGAAUAACUUCGGGAAACUGAGAAUAAUGCCCGAUAGAACAUUAUGCCUGGAAUGGUUUAUGUUUCAAAUGAUUUAUCGCCAUAGGAUGGGACUGCGGCCUAUCAGUUUGUUGGUGAGGUAAUGGCCCACCAAGACUAUUACAGGUACGGGCUCUGAGAGGAGUAGCCCGGAGAUGGGUACUGAGACACGGACCCAGGCCCUAUGGGGCGCAGCAGGCGAGAAAACUUUGCAAUGUGCGAAAGCACGACAAGGUUAAUCCGAGUGGUUUCUGCUAAAGAAACCUUUUGUCAGUCCUAGAAACACUAACGAAUAAGGGGUGGGCAAGUUCUGGUGUCAGCCGCCGCGGUAAAACCAGCACCUCAAGUGGUCAGGAUGAUUAUUGGGCCUAAAGCAUCCGUAGCCCGUUUUGUAAGUUUUCGGUUAAAUCCAUGCGCUUAACGUAUGGGCUGCCGGGAAUACUGCAUAACUAGGAAGUGGGAGAGGUAGACGGUACUCGGUAGGAAGGGGUAAAAUCCUUUGAUCUAUUGAUGACCACCCGUGGCGAAGGCGGUCUACCAGAACACGUUCGACGGUGAGGGAUGAAAGCUGGGGGAGCAAACCGGAUUAGAUACCCGGGUAGUCCCAGCUGUAAACUAUGCAAACUCAGUGAUGCAUUGGCUUAUGGCCAAUGCAGUGCUGCAGGGAAGCCGUUAAGUUUGCCGCCUGGGAAGUACGUACGCAAGUAUGAAACUUAAAGGAAUUGGCGGGGGAGCAC